GUUCGACUCAAUUAAAGAAUUACUGGCGUCAUCUUAAAAGAAACGAAAUGAAGCUAACGAGAACGUCAAAGAAAAGGCCGGGUGAAAGCGUAAAAAAUGGGGCUUCGUUUGAUAAUACUGAAUACUGUGGCGGUCGCCACGGUGGUUAUGUAGAUCCGAAUGUAAUCAGUCAGCAUCCACUCGACAUCAUUUCCGAACCAUUCAGUGUAAAUAAUAGGACAUCUGCGCAUGAUUUAAGACUGGCAUUGUUAAAUGCUAAGAUCAAUGCUAUCGUGAAUGAACAUAAACUUAAAAUGGAGAUUCUGCGACAACAAGUCAUCGAAAGAUAAUAAAACCCCAUUACGAAAUCCAACGAAAUUCUAGAGUGGCAUACCUAAAACGUAUUGAAAACAAAACACAUUUUGUCAUACUGGCAUGGUUAAUAUGUUGUUUUUAUAUAUAUAUACGACAUAAUCUUUUCGAUUUUAAAUUUCUGAUACCGUAAUGUGUAUAAUAAAGAUUUCAUUUGAAAGUA
This is a long non-coding RNA of Patella vulgata (common limpet), 514 nucleotides long. RefSeq lists it as uncharacterized. Lineage: Eukaryota; Metazoa; Mollusca; Gastropoda; Patellidae. The transcript has 2 exons. The record is from RefSeq and is a predicted model, not a curated record.